GGAAAAGUUCCUCCAUGUGAGGACUUUGUUUCAGAUUUCAAAUCAGACCCACCGAGGGCUCUGAUACCAUGUGAGAAAAUAGAACAGAAGAAGAAUAUUGAGAAUGAUUGAAGAGCUUGAUUAUUCCUUCAAGCCAAUGGUGUCAAUUUAUAAUCUGUACAGGACAACUAACUAGGAAAUACAAUCCUAAUUAAAUGCGUAAUUAUAGCCACGAUUCUAGCACCUAAAUAUAUU
Molecule: unclassified non-coding RNA, 234 nt
Filed under: Hevea brasiliensis (rubber tree)
Lineage: Eukaryota; Viridiplantae; Streptophyta; Magnoliopsida; Malpighiales; Euphorbiaceae
Source: RNAcentral